GGCAGCGCGACGCCGGGUGGCCCAGCAGCGGGCGGGUGCCGGGGGCGGAAGCGCGGCCACAAGAGGGGGCGAUUCACCGCCGCCCCCCGUGGGACCUGGGUCCUCUACGCGGGACCGCAGGGGCCCCGAGUCGCGGGUUGGGCAAGGUCGCCCGCUCCGGGUCGCUCGGAAGGGUCAUUUCACGGACCGGUCGUCUGGGGCCAGUGCGUCUUGCCCCGCACGGAAGACCCCUCGCUUCGAGGACAGGAAAGCUUUUAAAGUGAGGAUUGGCUCGCCGCGCCUCCCGCAGAGGGGAACGCCGCCCGGACCCGCGCUCCUGGGGCGGGGGCCUCGUAUGCUGGCGUUGCCGGAGCGUCUGCGGCGCUGAAGGCUGCCGAGACCCAGCCACAUCCCCCACAAGCCAGCAGCCCGGCAGAAAAUUACAUAAAAUGCAGCGCUUCGCCGAGGGGGUGCGAGUCGGGGGAGCAGCGCGCAGCUGCGGCUGACGGCUCGGCUGGAUCCAUCCAAGCAUGGACAGGAAAACGGGACUGUGGGGAGAGGGUGGUGCAGACGGGCCGCAGACCCUCCUUAGGAAGAGAAGCCGGAAACUAGGGAGUCAUGUGCAGUUAGAAUCCUCUUGGAAGACUAGUAGGAUGUGAGGUUGGAGAGGUGGACGACGACCAGAAAAUUCCCUUGUCUUGCCAGGCUUCUGACCUAACUAUGAGUUUCCUCCGCGCAUCCAGCCUGCCCUGCUCUGGCCCCUAAAGUACAGCAGUAACACUCAGUGGUGUCCCUGCCUUCCUGGAAUGCGCGUUAACAAUUCUGAUUCUUACUCAUGGCAAUAACCUACACACCACAUAGACGUUAAAUGUGGUUCGGGUCAGACUCUAGGGCAGGACUCACUGCCUGCACCUUGUCUUGGCUCCACCAGCUUGACCUUGAGCAAGUCACAACCUGUGGGUCUCAGUGUUCCUUACUAGUAAACCGUAGGAACAAAGAUUUCUAACAAGAGAGAGAAUAUCUUCCCGAUUCGACUCCCAUAUGUCAAGAGACUCAGAUGUGACUCAUAUUUGCCUGCCAGGAGGAGGAAAAAGAAAUACACUGUCCAGGAGCAACUCCUUAGUGGGUACCCACCAGAAGUGGUCUCCAAACAAGGCAAGAAUCUGUGUAUUCCUCACACAAUUCAAUCCCAGCCAUUCCAUAUGUACACACUGAGGUUUGCUUUUGGGUAAAUGGAAAUAACUUUAGAGUUUCACCACAAGAAAGCUACAUGGUAAGCAAGUGUUGGAAAAUCUUAACAGUGGGUGACAUUAAGCUAUAGGGUUGCAUUUUCAAGGGAACCAACAUCUUAUGCCGUGGCAAGCAACUCCUGACUGGAUAAACAGCUCUUAGAUGUCAUUGAUAGGCUCAAGCUGAGGCGCAGAGGAAGUAUGGCCCAAGGGCAUAUAGCUGGUAAGUGGUGGCUGGACUGCAAUCCCAAGUAGACAGUAUUAUCUUAGACUGAAACACAAACACUGCAAAGUCCAUUCUCCCUUGGCCACGUUUCACAAAAGAGGAAAUGGGACCUGAAAAUUAGGAGACUUACACAGGAUUGCACAGCUAGCGCAUCAGAGAGCUGACAUUUGGAAGCCCACGUGAUAAGUACGUGUGUAAUCUCAUUUACCGCAGGCAACUCUUAGAUUCUGUUAUUCCCAUUUUAAGAAUGAGGAAACUAGUCUGGGCGUAGUGGCUCUCGUCUGUGCUAUCAGCACUUUGGAAGACCAAGGCAGGAGGACCGCAUGAGCCCAGGAGUUCAAGGCUGGUCUUAAACAUAGUGAGACCCUCUCUCUACAAAAAAUUAAAAACUUAGUCCAUGCAUGGUGUUGGGUGACUGUAGUUUGAGCUAUUUGGGGAGACUGAGGCAGGAGAUCACUUGAGCCCAGGAGUUUAAGGCUGUCACAAGCUAUGGUGGUACCACUGUGCUCCAGCCUGGGCAACAGAGCGAGACCCUGUCUCAAAAAAGAAUGAGGAACUAAGGCUAAUAAAGUUUAAGAAUUUGCCUAAAAAUGGAAAGCUUUUUUUUUUAAUCUGUCUGUGAAUGAGAGGAAAAUAAAAUUCAGUAAGGCCUUCCAAAUCACCACUUAGGAAGCCCAACAACGUUAAAUAUGAAUGCAUAUCUAGAAAAUGGUGACCAAAGAAGUCUGGUUCCAACAAUUCACAUAAGAGAGUGGUCAAAAUGGAAUGAAUUAGUAGAUUAGAGUCCAUUUCAAAAGACUCUGAAAAAUGAGAUAAGGAAAUCUGUGAGCAAUGGAGAACAUGCAAAACAACUCAGAUACCUAAUCCAAAGCCUAAUAUUAGUUUUAAUGCAAAUUUGUGUUAACUGAAUUUAGGUUCAUUCAGGAGGCUGUGCUGAUGUUGAUGUACACACAACAUCAGCAUACCUCUGAAGGGCAGGAAGUAGAUGACGUUGGACCUCCAGAACACUAUACCACAAACUGGAUCAGCACCUAGAGGUGAAAUUAAAUGCACACAAAAACCUGGAUCACUUCAUUCAUUCAUUCAACAAAAUAUGUGUUAAAAGUCUUCCCUGGCUCCUGGGCUGUUUUUUGUUUUGUUUUUUUCCGCUUUAGAGACAGUAUGUCAUUCUGUCACACAGGCAGGAGUGCAGUGGUACAGUCAGAGCUCACUGCAGCCUCGCAGUCCUACCGCUGAGUACUUGAGACUACAGGUGUGCACCACCAUGCCUGGCUAAUUUUUUACUGUUUUUUAGAGAUGCGGGUCUUGCUCUGUUGCCCAGGCUGGUCUCAAACUCCUGGCCUCAAGUGAUCCUCCCGCCUUGAUCUUCCUGGACUUCUGUUGGAUAAAUUCCCUAGGAAGAGGAGAGUUAACACUUCGAUAGAUUUUAUUUAUUUAUUUAUUUUUUAGAGACAGGGUCUCACUGCAUUGCCUGGCCUUAAGUGACCCUCCUGUCUUGGCCUUCCAAAGUGCUGGGAUUACAGGCGUGAGCCACCACACCUGGACUUUGAUCGAUUUUUGGAGGACUUUCAAAGUAAAAAUGAAGAAGGUAUCUGAUCUUUUGAUAAGCCCUUAGUCACUAGUAGAUAUUAUAUUGCAUUUAAUUCCUGAUGCCCUUCCUCCACCUACUAGUGGUGUCAUCUUUCCCACAGGACCUUUUCUUCCUUUUAAGUCUAACCCAACCAGCUGUCCCCUUAAUGCUACUUGUCCCUGCCUUCCUCAGCAAAUUGUUUCCACAUUUAUCUCUUCCCUCUCCAACUUCUGCCUCUCCCUUGCCAUUGGCUUCUGUCCUAUUUGUUCCCAGCUUGCAGGCGCUGGCCCAUGUCUGUCUCCAAGUCUUACUCGUUCUUACUUUGAAACAUUUCUCACAGCACUAGAGAAAACACAGUGUGGUUGGACAAGACCUUGGGAACAUGGGAGCUGGGAUCAGAAUGUGUCUGUGUUUGGAUGUCGGAGUUGGGCAACCUCUUGGCUCGGAUAUUUUUCUGUUCGUUUUGUUUAAUAAUCUUUAAAAUAAGCAUGACAACUAAUAACAUUUAUUGGAUAUGUUUGUAUGCUGGACACUGUCCUAAAUCAUUUCCAUGCAUUAUUUAAGGAUCAUGAGACAGCUAGAGGUGUUUGUGAGCAUUUCCAGAGAGCAUGCCUGUGAAGCUCGCUGAACAAUGCCCAGCUCUCAACAUGACCCUGUUAUAUAAGAAUAAUUCUUUUUCUCUCCAUUCCCACUUAGUUCAGGCCCUCAAUCAUCAACAAGCAUCCUCCUUAAAGUUCUCCCUGACUCUCCACCUAAUUAAUCCUGUCAUUUUAUUUUUUUCUUUUCAUUUAUUUAUUUUUAUUUUCUUUGCCACUUCUGUAUCUUCUUUGGAGAUAAUCCUGUCACUACUUUUAAAAACCUUAAGUGCAACUUAACAUAUUGCUUCCCUGUUCACGUCUUUCUCAUUCGCUGUCACCUCAAACCCAAACUCCUUGGCUUGCUUUUAACACUGUGGAGGACAUUCUACUCUCCUCCCUCCCUGCUCCACACCCAGGAAAGAUGACUGUGCAGUAAAGCCAUGGCUCGCUUGCCCUUGAGUUUCCAAUGGGAUUCAUCUGGUAAGAGGCCUCAGCCAGAGAUGGAAGGGUGGGAGGAGAGUGAGGUUGGAGUUUCCAUUUUCCCAGCUCCUUUCCUGCCAAGCCACAGGUUGAUAGUAACUGCUAUUUGUGUGCAUAUAGAGACCCUCUCUUUGCACAUAGAGACCCUCUCUGGGCUUUAAGACCACUGCCUCCCCUGCCCCUUAAGGAGUUGGGCUUCCCUUUUUUUUCUUGUUGAAACAGUGUCUCAGUCUGUCAUCCAGGGUGGAGUGCAGUAGUGCAAUCACGUCUCACUGCAGCCUCGAUCUUUCAGGCACAAUUGAUCCUCCCACCUCUGCCUCCCAGGUAACUGGGACUACAGGCACCCACCACCACAACUGGCUAGUUUUUGCAUUUUUUCUACAGACGGGGAUUCACCAUGUUGUCCAGGUUGGUCUCGAACUCCUGGGCUCAAGCAAUCCUCUGGCUCAGCUUCCCAAAGUGCUAGGAUUAUAGGUGUGACUACCAUACCCAAGCCGUUAAUCUCUUUUCAAAAACCUUAGAGUCAUAUCUUUUUUUUUUUUUUUUUUUUUGAGACAGAAUCUUGCUCUCUUGCCCAGGCUGGAGUGCAAUGGCAUGAUCUCGGCUCACUACACCCUCCGCCUCCCAGGUUCAAGCAAUUCUGCCUCAGCCUCCCCAGUAGCUGGGACUACAGGUGCACACCACCACAUCCAGCUAAUUUUUGUAUUUUUAGUAAAGACAGGGUUUUACCAUGUUGGCCAGGCUGGUCUCGAACUCCUGACCUCAGGUGAUCCACUUGCUUUGGCCUCCCAAAGUGCUGGGAUUACAGGCGUGAGCCACAUGCCUGGCCAGAGUCAUAACUUUUAUAUCAUACAUGCAACUCAUCAGUAAACCAUCCAAUUAGCUUACCUUCAAAAUGUAUCCAGAAUCUAAGCACUUCUCAUCCGGAAGAG
RNAcentral lists this long non-coding RNA (4994 nucleotides) under Homo sapiens (human). RNAcentral's name for it is "non-protein coding lnc-WRB-2:9". Lineage: Eukaryota; Metazoa; Chordata; Mammalia; Primates; Hominidae. The record is from RNAcentral.